UUCACAGUCAGUUUUACAGCUGCAUUACCUUUGCCCCAAGCAUGGUUAGAGGAAUCAGCAGGUGACGAUCAGCCAGGAGCUACAUAAUUUCUGAGGGGUUUGGUCAUUCUUUGGUUUCUCUUUCACAGGAUACAAGUGAUGCCUUCAAAUUUGAGCUCAGUUUCUUAUGGUCGUUUAGGAGCAUGAGGGUUUCUGCAAUAAUCUACCAGUGAAAUGAUGAUCAAGAUCUUGGAAAGCACUCUACUGGUCAAGCAGAAUAGUUCCUGUCAUCUCCAUUAAGAAUCAGCUUAUUGGCCGGGCGCAGUGGCUCAUGCCUGUAAUCCCAGCACUUUGGGAGGCUGAGGCGGGUGGAUCACGAGGUCAGGAGAUCGAGACCAUCCUGUCUAACAAGGAAUCCUUUCUGGCACUCAAGAGUUUUCAAUUCAAUCCUGAUGAAUGAAUCAUUAUUUGAUACCAGCCUAAGUGAAGACUCUGCCUGGUGACUUUUGCAAGGUGGUUUCUGGCUGCAACAUGGGAAGAUUUGGGAUCAGUGAGAUGGAAGAGAUUUUUCUGGCUACUAGCGUUCCUAAGAAAGAGCUUUAGUGUUUAUCCAGCUAUUGGUAUGCAGACAACUAUACCCUUAUGAGAAACACUAGCAGAGAAGAAGAGUUCUUGACUGGGUCUGGGCCAUGAAACUGACCGGAUAAAAGUGGGAGAAGAAGAGAUGUUGAAGGAGGAGUUUGCUGUUUUCUCAGUCUCCUGAGAAAUUCCAGGCUUGGAGAUAUUUGAGGCAUCUCCUCCCCCCAAACUCAGUUGGACAGAUCAGAAAAAUGAGGUCCAGCAAACUGAAAUGACUUGCUCCAGAACUCACAGACAAUUAAUGACUAGAACCCAGGUCUUCUAACUUCCUACCAAUUAUUGUGAGGAGAGCCCAUAAAGGAGAAAAGGACAAGGGAUGAUCUAUGGAACAUUCAAACUCCUGUCUCUAGUUGCCUUUUUCUGGUUGUUUCUUGGAUAUCACGCACUCUCAUCAGCAGCCUUCCUACUCUUACAGAUUAUCAACACCUGUCCCAAAAUCCUGGGGCCAGCCAUGGUGCUUGGGCUUUUUUUCCCACAUCUAACCAUUCCGCAGCAUAUAACAAAUCCUUGACAAAUUUCCAGUGGAAAAAAAUAGCAGAAACCAUACACCCUCCAUCUGUGAAUUGAUGUGGCCAAGAACAGGCUUAUUUCAAAGGGUGCACCAUAGAAUAGUCGUAAGACUCAACCCCUCCAAGACUAGCUGGUGCUUAUCCCGCCCAUAGGCAGUUAAAAGGACUUUAUUUGCAUCUUAUUCUUUCCAACAGAAAGGCAAACAUUAUUAUUACAAUUCAGUAAAUUUCCAUAAGGAACCCCAUUGAUACAUGUUGUAUAUUUUGGGUUCUUUUGUUUCAUACUGAGCAUACCAACAUUAUAUCAAUAUUAUAUUUAUCUAGCAUUCUCCCAUAUUCAUAGAAAUAGAGAACUCAUCAGCCUUUAAAAAGAACUCAAAUGCACACAAAAUUUCACCCUCUAGAAAAGCAUCAAUGAAAAUGAUUUUGCAAAUAUAUAUACUUUUCAAUAUGUAAGUAUCUACAAAAAAAUUGAUAAUAAUUAAAUACCUGUAAAGUGCCAUGCACUUUACCUGUAUAUCUCAUUUAAUUCUCACAACAACCCUGUGAAGUAAGAAUUACUACGCCCAUUUUAUAGAUGAACUAGCUAGGAGUCAAAGACAUUGAGCCACUUGCCACACAUUUACAGCACGGAGCUACAAAGAUCUGGGACUUGAAUCCAGAUUUUCUAACUCCAGAGCCAAAGCUUUUCUUAAUAUGCCACAGGAGCAAGCACAGGAGCUUGCUCCAAAAGUCAAGUUAAUUUUUAGGAAAGAAUUAGGUAAGCAAAUAUUCAUGAAUUAGAGAAUGUCUUUAAUUUCAGAUCCAAAUCACUUGGUCACUUAAAAAUAAAAGACAAUAAAUCAUAAGGGAUUCUACUUGACUUAUUAUCUAAAGUGAUUAAUAAGAAUGACAUUUCCCCACCAACCCCAAAUGAAAAAAUCAAUUUGGGAAGUUUCCCAAUAAUUUAAACUUGAAACACUAAUCUGAAAAAGAAAAUCUAUAUAUCAAAAGUCUUCAUAGUAUGGCACAAAUAAAACAGAAUCUUAAUUUCCAAUUUCUAUUAAACUGAUUUUUCUUUUAAACUGGAGCCAGAAAGCCAAAAAGCCUUCAAAUCAAUUGAGCCUCUUGCAUUUUAUUUAAGAGGUUUCAUUUUUCAAACCAAAGCUGGGAAGACAAAACAAGCUUAUUUAAUUCACACCCCAGAAUUGUAAUUUCUCUGUUCAAGCCAAUGUCUAAGUGCCUGUAUUAAGGGCUUCCCACUGACCAUAAUGUGUUAAUUCAUCAUUGCACACAAUUUUCCUUUGUACUUUUAAGCUACUCUUCAUUUUCCCCUUGGUUAGGGUUGCCUAUACAACAGAGGACACCCAGUAAAACAUAAAUUUCAGAUAAACAACAAAUAGUCUUUACAUAAGCAUGCCCCCUGCAAUAAUUGAGACAUACUUAUACCCCCAAAAUUAUUUAUCUGAAAUUCACAUUUAACUAGACAUCCUGUAUUUUUAUUUGCUAAAUCUGGCAACCCUAUUCUUGAUCCAUUGUGGGUAUUCCCAGGACUUCACCUCUAAACUAUUAUAUUUUUCAAAUACAUUAUUUGUAUGUUUUGUGGUGUGUAUGUGUGUGUGUGUGCACGCGCGCGUGCCUCUCAGAAUGGAGGUUCUGGAGCAUCUCUCACUCUUGAGACCACAGCCAUCUAUCACUUUGGUUAUCAAUGUGUCCUCUAUCGUAUAUAUAAUUAUGUAUUAUGUUAUAUAUAUAUAUAUAUACAUAAUUUAGUGUGAAACUAGCCAGGACCAUUUUGAAAACGAAAAGUCAGUGGUGGGAGGUGGGAAGGAGUGUGUUGGGAGAAACUUUACCCACCACGUAUUAAAAGGUAUUAUAAAUCUAUACUGAUUAAAACAGUUUGGUUCUAGUAUGUGAGUAGAUAAAUUAACACCACAGAAUAGAGAUUACCCAAUUCUUUACCCCAAAAUAAGUUCUAGAAAUAUAAAGGAGUCAAAUGGAAAAUGCAAUUGUAAAGACACCAAGAGAAAGCAUGGAAUAAUUAUAUGUAGUCUUGAAGUGAAAAUGAUUUUUCUAAGGAAGAUGCAAAAUCCAGGAAGUAAAAAGAAAAAUUUCAUAAAUCUAGCUACAUAUAAUUUUCAAAACUUUUUUCAUGUAGAAAAUAUAAUAAAUGCAGUCAAAAAGCAAUUUAGGGGAACAUCUUCAAUUUAUCUCACUCAGGGUGGACUAAGUUAUUUAAUAUGUAAAAAUCUCUUGCAAAUCAAUAGAAAAAAAGCAAAAUCAUGAAUAGAAAAAUGAGUAAAGGCUAUAAAUGGACAUUUCACUGAAAAACAGCCAUACAAGUUAAUAAACACACAGAAAAAGAGGCUUAACCUCACUGAUGAUUAAGGCAAUGCAAGUUAAAGCAAUAAUGAAACAUCAUUUCCCUUCAUUAUAUUGAAAAAGAUUAAAAGCUAGAUAAUGUGUAGUAUUGAUGGGGAUAGAGAGAUGGGCAUUUCAUAACUUGUAGAUGAGAUUAUAAAUUGGUGCAACGUCUUUGGAGGGCACGAUUUUGCAGUAUCUUUUAAUAUGAAAAAUGUAUUUAUCCUUGACUAAGUAAUUCCCAUUCUAGAAAUGUAUAUUAUGAAAAUACUUGCACAGUAUGCAAAUGUAUACAAGUAUAAGGGUGUCCAUUGCAGUAUUAUUUGUGUUAAUGAAAAAUGGGACUAAGGCAAAUGUCUAUUAUAAGAGAUAGGAUAAAAAAUUUAGUGCAUAUUCAUAUAUUGAAAUAAUAUUGUCAAUUAAAAAAUAAAACUGAUCCACAUGUGUGGAAAUAAAAUUAUUUCCCAAUUUAAUUUGUUGAAAUUUUUAAAAGACUCACAAUGGUGUGCAGGUGAAUGCCCUUUUUUAAUAAGGAAAGAUGCAUAUAUGUACAUAUGUUUGUAUGUGCAGAAGUAGACUGGCUUUUUUAUAUCCUUUUGUACUCUGAAGCUUUCUGUAUGAAUUGCAUGUAUUACUUUUUCAA
Molecule: long non-coding RNA, 4110 nt
Filed under: Homo sapiens (human)
Lineage: Eukaryota; Metazoa; Chordata; Mammalia; Primates; Hominidae
Description: HSALNT0408727
Source: RNAcentral